Zootoca vivipara (common lizard) is the source of this 528-nucleotide non-coding RNA. The record is from the annotation of a RefSeq genome assembly. Lineage: Eukaryota; Metazoa; Chordata; Lepidosauria; Squamata; Lacertidae.
GCUGAAACAAUUUCCAGUCAGUUCCUCUCACAGCAAAAGAGGGAAACAAACAUGGCAAUUUGGCUUCAAUUUGUUUUUGUUUCAGCAGUUUUGGGAGGUGUCCAAUCAGCAGUCCAGCUGGUAGAGUCUGGAGGGGAUGUCAAAAGGCCUGGGGAGUCCCUCCGCCUCUCCUGUCGAGCUUCUGGAUUCACCUUCAGCGACUACUGGAUGAGCUGGGUGCGACAGGCUCCUGGGAAGGGACUGGAAUGGGUUGCAAGGAUAAGCAGUGGUGCAGGCAGCUCACAAUAUUAUGCGGACUCAGUGAAAGGGCGCUUCACCAUCUCCAGAGACAACCCUUCAAACAUGCUGUAUCUGCAAAUGAACAACCUGAAACCUGAGGACACUGCUGUUUAUUACUGUGCAAGAGACACAGUGAAAGGAAUUGAAUCUGCAGCCAGACAAAAACCUUCCUUUGCCAGCUGUCUGCACUGGUUCAGCUGCAACCACAAAGAACUAAAUGAAGAAGUUUGGAGAAGGAAGAUAAAUUGA